RNAcentral lists this long non-coding RNA (1056 nucleotides) under Salvia miltiorrhiza (redroot sage). RNAcentral describes it as "long non-coding RNA (SMIL_LNC007998)". The record is from RNAcentral. Lineage: Eukaryota; Viridiplantae; Streptophyta; Magnoliopsida; Lamiales; Lamiaceae.
AAUCUCCUUCAUAGAUACCAACAUAUGCUCGGCCUCUUCCACCUUUCCAUCUUUGCACCAAGCAUCCACAAAGAUAUUACACGUCACCACAUUUGGGUAGACCAGAUCAGCUAUCAUCUUCUUUAACAUGUCUUCAGCCUUAUCCAUUGUUCUCCUAUUGCACAACCGCUCAAUUAUUGAACUAUAUGUCACAACAUUAGGUGAAAUCCCCUUAUCACCCAAAGAGGAGAAGAGUUGGAGAGCAUCGUCCACCUUUCCUUCCUUGCAUAGACCAUCAAUGACUGCACUGUAAGCAUAGACAUCUGGUUUGCAGCUCCCUUUUCCUUUUUCCAAUGAGCAGAGCAAAUCAAUCGCCUGUAGAAUAUCCCCAGCUUUGCAUAACCCAUUAAUUAUAGUAUUAUACGUAUACUCAUCGGGCUCGCACAGUUGGUAGACCGACAGCUUCCCCAACAAUUUAGCUGCCUCUGGGAUCCUUUCAACAAACAGAAGGCCUUUCAAGAGAGUGUUGAAGGUUACAACAUCAGGCUCGUACCCACGCUUGAAAAAAAUGCCUAAGAUAGCAAACCCAAAAUCAGGUCUUUUCUGUCGGCAGUAGCAAUCAAUCGCAAUACUCAACGUGUAGUGAUUCACAGGAGCAUCCCUUUGAAGCAUUUCGUCGAUCAGAUGAAGGGCAAGAGAGUAUUGUUUCAUCUUCACCACGGUACUCAACAAUUUACAGAAAACAGUAACAUAAGGGCGCGGCUGCGUUCUCAUCAUAUCCCGAAAUAGAGCGACGGCAUCAUUGGGCUCACGUAUAGAUUCAAAAUCGAAUCUAUGAUAGGCGGAGAAGUGUCUCCUCAUUUGGCAGCUGGCAUUAUCAAAAUGAAAAAUGGGUCCAAGAAAUGAUUGAUAAUGUGGAGGGGCGAUGGAAAAAGUGGAGAAUUUAGAUGAAGAAUUCGACAAAAUUCUACCCAGAAACAUGGCGGCGUGGUUCGACCUCAUUAUUGGAAGCUGAAGAAUUGGGGAAGAAUGAGAGAUAGGAUUUUGUGAGGAAGAAAGGUGAAAAAUGAGUUUUUU